This 485-nucleotide ribosomal RNA is filed under the name uncultured bacterium. Its description in RNAcentral is "partial 16S ribosomal RNA". It matches the Rfam family "Bacterial small subunit ribosomal RNA", at positions 29 to 507 of the family's 1533-position model. The record is from RNAcentral.
AUUGAACGCUGGCGGCAUGCCUUACACAUGCAAGUCGAACGGCAGCACGGGGGGUAACCCCUGGUGGCGAGUGGCGAACGGGUGAGUAAUAUAUCGGAACGUGUCCUGUAGCGGCGGAUAACCUAUCGAAAGAUGGACUAAUACCGCAUACGACCUACGGGUGAAAGCGGAGGCCCGCAAGGCUUCGCACUAUAGGAGCGGCCGGUAUCGGAUUAGCUAGUUGGCGGGCGAACGGCCGACCAAGGCGACGAUCCGUAGCUGGUCAGUGAGGACGAUCAGCCACCCUGGAGCUGAGAGACGGUCCAGCCACCUACGGGCGGCAGGAGUGGGGAAUUUUGGACAAUGGGCGCAAGCCUGCUCCAGCCAUGCCGCGUGAGUGAAGAAGGCCUGCGGGUUGUAAAGCUCUCUCGUCGGGGACGAAACGGUUCGUGCUAACACCACGGACUACUGACGGUCCCGAAGAAGAAGCACCGGCUAACUACGUG